RNAcentral lists this ribosomal RNA (253 nucleotides) under uncultured bacterium. RNAcentral's name for it is "partial 16S ribosomal RNA". It matches the Rfam family "Bacterial small subunit ribosomal RNA", at positions 524 to 776 of the family's 1533-position model. The record is from RNAcentral.
UACGGAGGGUGCAAGCGUUAUCCGGAUUCACUGGGUUUAAAGGGUGCGUAGGUGGGCAAGUAAGUCAGUGGUGAAAUCUCCGGGCUUAACCCGGAAACUGCCAUUGAUACUAUUUGUCUUGAAUACUGUGGAGGUCAGCGGAAUAUGUCAUGUAGCGGUGAAAUGCUUAGAUAUGACCCGGAACACCAAUUGCGAAGGCAGCAGGCUAAACAAAGAUUGACGCUGAGGCUCGAAAGCGUGGGGAUCAAACAGG